AGGAGUUUCCGUGCGCCACGAGGCGCUGGCGCGCGUCUCCCGGCCCAUCCACCCCGGGCCCGGCGACACCUUUCUUUGCCACCUGGAACCAACAUCUUGGUUCCCUUUUGAGGGAUCAGAACUUGUUUAAUUGGAAUACGGCAAAAUUCUGAAUUUUUCUGCCGUCUCUAUUCCAACUUCAGAGUUCUGCCGUCCAGCCCUGCGACAAUCUUCCGGUGCCAACGCGGCAGAUGGUGUCAGAAGCGGAGUCCAGAGUAGAGCUUCUAGGAACCUUCGGGAGUGCUGAGUGAACACGCAAGGUGCCUGCGGAACCCACUUGUGUCCAUUGACCUCUCCGAGUGGCCGGGGAUCGUGGACUCCAUUUUGGAUGCUCCCUUCGUGACUGUGGGUCCUGUACUGGAACUCGAGUGAACACUUGGCUUAAAAUCCAUUGCUGUUCUCCAGAAAUCCUGCCCAAUUUUCUCGGUUAAAGGUACGUGUAGUAGGCAUUGCUUUUUCUCUUUGGGGACAAAACUCAGGAGGAUUGCCCCUUGAUGAACAAGGCUAACCUGCUGAUUCUUUGAAGCAAGGAACUGGAGAUGGUCCUUAUAGAGUUUUAUAUUCUGGAUUCCAUAAAACAUGCAUACAGGGUCAAUAAAUGCAUCUUUAUUUUUGUGUCUAUUUUAACUUGGUCAAAGAAAAUUCCAGGAAAAAAUCCACGGCAUCAGAGCAAGAAGAUGUCAGGCUGUGACCCUCUUGAGGGAAGCACUUUCUGUUGUCUGAAAGAAGAGAAAGUGCUUCCUUUUAGAGGCUUACUGUCUGAGAAAAGCAACGUUGUAGUUGAUGCUGAUCUUUGUAAUAUCUUUGCAGAGCACGCUUAUAAUCAGACUUGGAUGAUGUUGGGGUUUUGUUUUUCUUUUGUUUUUUUAUCUAAGACUGGGUCUCUGUUGCCCAGGCUGAAGUGCAGUGG
Molecule: long non-coding RNA, 949 nt
Organism: Homo sapiens (human)
Lineage: Eukaryota; Metazoa; Chordata; Mammalia; Primates; Hominidae
Exons: 3
Source: RefSeq, a predicted model, not a curated record